ACAGGAUUGAGUGACUGAACUGAAGUUGGUGGACUCUGAGUACCAUACAAGAUGGAGUAUAUAUAUUUCACCUUAUUCCUGCUGCUAAAUAUAACUAAAGACCAUGGAUGAAUUCUAUAAAGCUAUCUAAAGAUCUUGAAUGGUAGGGAAAAGGUGGUCACCUGGGUAGUCACUUUGGAACUUGAGGAAUGAACUGGAAGUUUCCUGGGUGUUUUCUUGUUUUUUUUAACCUGGGUGUUUUCUUAUGCCACAUUUUUACUUUCCUUUGACUUGGGUGCAAAAAACAUCUAAAACCUGAAAACAUCAGUGGGUGCAGAUGAAGAAUACUAAAAGCCUGCUCUUAUCAACCAAAGGGUGGGAAAAGGGUGAUAUGUAUGAAAUUAUUAAUUUGAUUAUACCUGCCCCACUCCAAGUGAACAUACAUUCCCCAGUCACUGGAUGUGGGCAAGACUAUAGGAGGAGCCCUGUGGACCUUCCUUGCCCUGAACUGAGUGACCAGCCUCAAAAAGGCAGCAUCUCAGCCAUCCUAACUACAGAGACUGAGGGAGGAUUACAGAGACAAAGAAGCUAGAGAAAGAGUUCCUUUAAAUGUGUUAAUGAAGUCCUGGGCACACCCUCAACCAGACCACACAAGAAAGUCACCAUAAUCAACAUGGCAAAAUGAACUAUGAGUGGACUGCUGCCCAGGUUUCAACUGGCAUCAGGUAGCAUCCAAGUUGAAGAGGACCAGAAUACCACUGCAAAAGCCUUGAAAAUUGACACUGAGCCACAAAAGUGGGGCUGAACCCCACUGAACCUGAACAGUUGGCCUUAUAAAAUAGAAGAUUUAAUUACAAGAUUUGCAUAAUACUCAAACUGUGUAGGAUCCAAUGCAAAGUUACUCAUCACAUAAACUUGAGUAAGAGAUAUAUGGAAGACCCAAGCAGGAAGUUUGGAACUAAAAAAUAAAAAAAAACUUACCGAAUGGGUUCAACUGCAGCAUGCAGAUGACAGAGGAAAUCAUCAGCAGACCUAGAGAUCAUUAAGAAUUACCUCAUUUGAACGAUUAGAAACUAUAAAGUGAAUAAAAACAAACAGAAUUGCAGAGACUUGUGGGACAAUAACAAAACCAACAUUCAUGUCAUUAAAGUUCUGAAGGAGAGGAAAAAAAUGUUCCGGACUGAAAUCACACUUGAAGAAAUAAUGGCUGGAAAGUUUCCAGAUCUGACAGAAGAUAAAAUCUAGAUUCAAGAAGCUGAAAGAACUUCAAACAAGAUAAACCUAAAGAAACCCAAGCUCAGUCAGAUCAUAAUUGAAUUUCUGAAAAUUUAAAAGACAGAGAUAAAUCUUAAAAGAGGGUAGAGAAAAAUAACUACCAACAGGGGAUGAACAAUGUGAAAAACAGCAUAUUUAUCAAACAUAUACUUGAGUCAUAGAGGCUCAAGCCUUGGGUGGAGGAGAAGCCAUUUCCACGCUCACCUCCUUGCUGGCUGUUGGUUGGAGACAUCCGUUUCUUGCCACAUAAGCCUCUCUGUAAGGUAGUUUAAAACAUGCCAGCUAGCUUCUCCCAGAAUGAGUAAGAGAGGGUGCCCAAGAGGAAGCCACAGUACCUAUCUUUGGAAGUAACAUCCCUUUGUUCAUUACCUUACAUGAACAAGAUGAAAGCAUUCCAGCCCACACUCACAGAGGGGAGAUUACAAAGGGCAUGAAGCCCAGGAGGUAGAGAUCACUGGGGACCAUCGUAGAGGUUGCCUACCACACUACCAACCAAUUUAUCAAUAGCUUUAUCAACUAAUUUGGAUAUUUAGGAAUUUAGUUUAAAAAUAGUAGAAGUUGUAGUUCAAAAAUAUUAAAAAGAUCAGUUAAAUUCAAUCUCCUAUCUACUGGUUGCCUGAGGAGUUUAAGGAUGCUAUUAGUCAGCAAAGGCUGGGUCAUGUGUUAGAAACUCAAAAACCUUAGGCUCUUAAACUGUACUUCAUACUUGUAUUGCGUGUAUAUCACAAGUUGGCUGGGGACCCCACUUUGAUACAAAACAUUUAUCUGGAUGCUACUUGCCUCCAUGGAAGGGAGAAAAAGCUCUGGAGGGCAAUUAAAUGGUCUGCCCAGAAGUGACACAGCACUUAUGUCACAACUAACUGGUCACAUAGUCCCAGCCAACCACAAGGAGGCUGGGAUAUAUAAUCCUAACAUAUGCAGUUGAGCCGGAAACAGCUGGUGGAAAGUAUAGCUGAUGGUCACCACAGUCAUUCUGGUCACUGAACAAGAUUUUUACCACCACUCCCAGUGUAUGUGAAUUCAUCACCUCGGUCCUGCAGAAGAACAUUUUUGGCAUUAAACAUCUAAAUCCAGAACUGACCACUUCAACACAAAAGUGAUGCUAAAAGAGAUGGGAUUUAUCCUCGACAACGCUUUGUAUUUUACUGAAUAAUCAAGACAGGUUCUAAAGAACAAGGUUGCAUCAUGACUUACUACUUCAUCCGCAAAUCCACCAGCCAGGACAAGAGAGUAAGCGCCAUCAUUACUCCGACCAUGAAUUCCACCAACAUGGGGUCUAUGGACACCUGCUUCGCUCACCUAUAACAUCAAGUGGAUGAAACAAUGGUAUUAUUUACUGAAGACUGAGUGAGGAGUAAGAUUUCAGAGGAUAUGUUUGUGGAAAUCAAGAUCUCCACUCGGAGUCACUAAUUUUGUAAUGCUAGUCAAGCAAGCAGUUGAAUAUAGGAACAUAAAGUUCAGGUAAGACUGGGUCUGAAAAUAUAAAUUCUGAACCAUUUGCUCGGUAUUUAAAGUCUCAUCAUUGCAUGAAGUCAUAUAGGGAGCACUUUGGAAAAUAAAAGAGGAAAGUGGUAAGAGAUACAGAAGGAAAAAUCAACUAAAAAACACUGUGCAAGGCUCUCUACAGUAAUGUAAAGCAUCUGAAGCAAAGGAGUAAUUAUCAAAUUUGCAUUUUUGAAAGAACACAGACUCAUAUUGGAGAA
Molecule: non-coding RNA, 2957 nt
Organism: Odocoileus virginianus texanus
Lineage: Eukaryota; Metazoa; Chordata; Mammalia; Artiodactyla; Cervidae
Source: RefSeq, a predicted model, not a curated record